RNAcentral lists this ribosomal RNA (498 nucleotides) under uncultured Glomus. RNAcentral describes it as "SSU rRNA". It matches the Rfam family "Eukaryotic small subunit ribosomal RNA", at positions 591 to 1092 of the family's 1831-position model. The record is from RNAcentral. Lineage: Eukaryota; Fungi; Glomeromycota; Glomeromycetes; Glomerales; Glomeraceae.
CCAAUAGCGUAUAUUAAAGUUGUUGCAGUUAAAAAGCUCGUAGUUGAAUUUCGGGAUCAAUAUAUCGGUCGUGCCAUCGGUACGUACUGGUAUGAUUGGUUUCUCCUUUCUGACGAACCAUGAUGUCAUUAAUUUGGUGUCAUGGGAAGUUAGGACUGUUACUUUGAAAAAAUUAGAGUGUUUAAAGCAGGCUUUAGCUUGAAUACAUUAGCAUGGAAUAAUGAAAUAGGACGUUCGAACCUAUUUUGUUGGUUUCUAGGAUCAACGUAAUGAUUAAUAGGGAUAGUUGGGGGCAUUAGUAUUCAAUUGUCAGAGGUGAAAUUCUGUGAUUUAUUGAAGACUAACUACUGCGAAAGCAUUUGCCAAGGAUGUUUUCAUUAAUCAAGAACGAAAGUGAGGGGAUCGAAGACGAUCAGAUACCGUCGUAGUCUUAACCAUAAACUAUGCCGACUAGGGAUCGGAUGAUGUUAUUUUUAAUGACUCAUUCGGCGCCUUACG